UACGUAGGGUGCGAGCGUUGUCCGGAAUUAUUGGGCGUAAAGAGCUCGUAGGCGGUCUGUCGCGUCGGUCGUGAAAACUUGGGGCUUAACCCUGAGCUUGCGGUCGAUACGGGCAUGACUGGAGUUCGGCAGGGGAGACUGGAAUUCCUGGUGUAGCGGUGAAAUGCGCAGAUAUCAGGAGGAACACCGGUGGCGAAGGCGGGUCUCUGGACAGAGUCUGACGCUGAGGCGCGAAAGCUAGGGGAGCAAACAGG
RNAcentral lists this ribosomal RNA (254 nucleotides) under uncultured bacterium. RNAcentral's name for it is "partial 16S ribosomal RNA". It matches the Rfam family "Bacterial small subunit ribosomal RNA", at positions 524 to 776 of the family's 1533-position model. The record is from RNAcentral.